GUCCUGUUGGCAUGAGAUGGAAAAUCUGUGUUUUGAACAAACAUCUUAGGCCAUCUGCUGUGUCUACACUUAAAGAAACACUGGUGGAGUUUUAAACACCUCUCCAUGGCAGAAGGAGAGCCUGAGAAUGAAUGUGACCCAAACCCAUCCACUCAAGUUCUGGUCGUUUGGAAGAAGGAAGAACAGCCUGGAUACUGGCAGGAAAGGAUGACAAGCUGGGAGUUACAGACGUGCACAGGACAAAGAGUUGGGGAGGAGGGGGUGUUUAGCAGGUGGAAAAGAUGCUGAGAGGCAAGAACACAGAAGCUUGUCAUGGGCUGGUACCGUUCAAGUGUUUUCCAUGUAUUUAACCCCCGCCACAAUGCUGUGAGAGACUGAGAAGAUGGCCUGUGAUGAUGCCUGCUCACUAGUAGCUCAAGGAGAUCACAGGGUACCCCUGUCCUGUUUCUGUUGCUAGCAGGCAAGGCCCCCAGCCUCCUGCUAAGGCAGGUGAUGAGAAAGGUUUUCCUUCUCAGGAUUCCUGGAUGGGGACUGGCCAUUGGCAUUUGUGCUCAGUAGAUAAUUGAUGGAGACUGAGGCCUGGAGGGGGCAAAGGACUGGGAAUGUGUCUGAGGAAGACAUUCAGGCCGGAUGGUUAGUCAUCUUGGGGACACUCAUGCCAUGUCCUGGUGUAGCCUCCACCCUCCUAUGACUGUCACUAGAUGCCUCGCAGGUGCGUUGGGACAGACAAAUAAUAAUAACAAUAGUUCACAUGCACCAGGCCCUGUUCUUGAUUUUUAUAAACACUGAUUUAAUUGUCACAACUA
Long non-coding RNA from Otolemur garnettii (small-eared galago), 806 nucleotides. RefSeq lists it as uncharacterized. The record is from RefSeq and is a predicted model, not a curated record. The transcript is spliced from 3 exons. Lineage: Eukaryota; Metazoa; Chordata; Mammalia; Primates; Galagidae.